CCUACGGGAGGCAGCAGUGGGGAAUAUUGCACAAUGGGGGCAACCCUGAUGCAGCGACGCCGCGUGGGUGACGAAGUAUUUCGGUAUGUAAAGCCCUAUCAGCAGGGAAGAAGAUGACAGUAUCUGACUAAGAAGCCCCGGCUAACUACGUGCCAGCAGCCGCGGUAAUACGUAUGGGGCAAGCGUUAUCCCGGUUUACUGGGUGUAAAGGGGGCGUAGGUGGCAUGGCAAGCCAGAAGUGAAAACCCGGGGCUUAACCCCGCGGAUUGCAUUUGGAACUGUCAGGCUGGAGUGCCUGAGGGUCAGGCGGAAUUCCUGGUGUAGCGGUGAAAUGCGUAGAUAUCAGGAGGAACACCGGUGGCGAAGGCGGACUGCUGGACUGUAACUGACGCUGAGGCUCGAAAGCGUGGGGAGCAAACAGGAUUAGAUACCCCGGUAGUC
RNAcentral lists this ribosomal RNA (441 nucleotides) under uncultured bacterium. Its description in RNAcentral is "partial 16S ribosomal RNA". It matches the Rfam family "Bacterial small subunit ribosomal RNA", at positions 338 to 795 of the family's 1533-position model. The record is from RNAcentral.